Molecule: ribosomal RNA, 489 nt
Filed under: Triticum aestivum (bread wheat)
Lineage: Eukaryota; Viridiplantae; Streptophyta; Magnoliopsida; Poales; Poaceae
Description: partial small subunit ribosomal RNA
Source: RNAcentral
AUGAACACCUCUAGACGGACACCCCGCACCAAUGAAUUGAUAAAACAACAGUUUUGCUGCAACAAGUUCAAGAAGCCCAAAGCUGAUGAUGGAGGAGCUGAGGCUCCUCCUAUCCUGGACCCUAUUCCAGAUCCAAAAUCUGUUGACAGUGAUGAGGAGAUGGAAGAAGAACCUCCAAUAUUUGCUGAAGAGGAGGCUGGUACUAGUAAGAAGAAGAAGAAGCGCAAACGCGAGACAAUAAAGCAGACUCAGUGCAAGGCGAAAAUGUUGGUGAAGCUGAUAGAUGGGCGAUGGGAGGUGACGCACUUUGUUCGUGACCACAAUCAUCCGCUCGUGAACAAACCUUCAUUGUCCAAAUACUUGAGAUCCCACCAAGGCAUCUCACCUGAUGAAAAGGAGUUUCUGCGCAUCUUGCAUAACUGCAACUUGACUACAGUCUUUCAUGCUAGGUUGCGCAUUUGUGAGGCAGGAGUUGGCAUCGAGCUUUGA